This 468-nucleotide ribosomal RNA is filed under the name uncultured bacterium. RNAcentral describes it as "partial 16S ribosomal RNA". It matches the Rfam family "Bacterial small subunit ribosomal RNA", at positions 28 to 507 of the family's 1533-position model. The record is from RNAcentral.
GACGAACGCUGGCGGCGUGCUUAACACAUGCCAGUCGAACGGAAAGGCCCUGCUCUUGUGGGGUGCUCGAGUGGCGAACGGGUGAGUAACACGUGAGUAACCUGCCCUUGACUUUGGGAUAACUUCAGGAAACUGGGGCUAAUACCGGAUAGGAGCUCCUGCUGCAUGGUGGGGGUUGGAAAGUUUCGGCGGUUGGGGAUGGACUCGCGGCUUAUCAGCUUGUUGGUGGGGUAGUGGCUUACCAAGGCUUUGACGGGUAGCCGGCCUGAGAGGGUGACCGGCCACAUUGGGACUGAGAUACGGACCAGACUCCUACGGGAGGCAGCGGUGGGGAAUAUUGCACAGUGGGCGGAAGCCUGAUGCAGCAACGCCGGGUGCGGGAUGACGGCCUUCGGGUUGUAAACCGCUUUCGCCUGAGACGAAGCGUGAGUGACGGUAAUGGGUAAAGAAGCACCGGCUAACUACGUG